This is a transfer RNA of Ovis aries (sheep), 67 nucleotides long. It matches the Rfam family "tRNA". Rfam says of the family: Transfer RNA (tRNA) molecules are approximately 80 nucleotides in length. Their secondary structure includes four short double-helical elements and three loops (D, anti-codon, and T loops). Further hydrogen bonds mediate the characteristic L-shaped molecular structure. tRNAs have two regions of fundamental functional importance: the anti-codon, which is responsible for specific mRNA codon recognition, and the 3' end, to which the tRNAs corresponding amino acid is attached (by aminoacyl-tRNA synthetases). tRNAs cope with the degeneracy of the genetic code in two manners: having more than one tRNA (with a specific anti-codon) for a particular amino acid; and 'wobble' base-pairing, i.e. permitting non-standard base-pairing at the 3rd anti-codon position. The record is from Rfam. Lineage: Eukaryota; Metazoa; Chordata; Mammalia; Artiodactyla; Bovidae.
UCCCUGGUGGUCCAGUGGUUAGGACUUGACACUUUCACUGCCAGGACUCAGGUUCAACCCCUGGGAA